GUGGCAGCAACAGGAUCCAGAACAGACAGAUGUUGGCUUUGGGGAACAAGAAGAAAUAUCCUAAGAACCCUCUGAGUUCACAGUCUCUCACUGUUACCAAAGGCCUUGGAUUUGGAUUCAGUAAAACAAAGACUGCCCUUGAAUCUCCUUGAGACUUACUGUAGCAAACAUUCCUCCCCAGUCAGUAGCAGCCAAACCUCAGGGACUUAACCCUUGGACAUGCAUCUCAUAACUGCAAAAGGCUCCACGUGACAGAUUCCAGAGACCUUCUGAUCAAAUGGAUAGGAGGAGAAGUAGCUGACUUUGAGUGUUAUGGAGGCCAAAGAAGUCCCAAGAUCUAUCUUCUAAAAGCUGCUGAACCAGGAGGCCACUGGUGAGUCCAAUGUAUGAGAACUGGAAGCUCCAAUGUUUGAUGGCUAGAGAAGAUGGGAGUCAGGAAAAUAAAG
Long non-coding RNA from Canis lupus familiaris (dog), 446 nucleotides. RefSeq lists it as uncharacterized. NCBI's taxonomy places the organism in Eukaryota, Metazoa, Chordata, Mammalia, Carnivora, Canidae. The transcript is spliced from 3 exons. The record is from RefSeq and is a predicted model, not a curated record.